Molecule: long non-coding RNA, 225 nt
Filed under: Prunus persica (peach)
Lineage: Eukaryota; Viridiplantae; Streptophyta; Magnoliopsida; Rosales; Rosaceae
Description: long non-coding RNA (PPER_LNC006357)
Source: RNAcentral
CGGGUUCGAUAUGUUCGGACCGUUGGAUUGACUCCAUUUCCAAAUAUGUUGAUUUAGAAACCUCUAGGAUUGUGUAGCAACUCACAGAUCGAGAAUCAGAGUCCCAGAUGCUCCGAUUCAAUGAUUUAAAGAUGACGUAAAAUAGUGAUCGUCCGAUCGUGCCAUCGUGAGCGCUCCAACCACUUGAUCUGGACCAAACUUGCAAAACCUGUGUAGUGAACUUUG